RNA transcript from Spinacia oleracea (spinach), 2652 nucleotides. RefSeq lists it as uncharacterized. NCBI's taxonomy places the organism in Eukaryota, Viridiplantae, Streptophyta, Magnoliopsida, Caryophyllales, Amaranthaceae. The record is from RefSeq and is a predicted model, not a curated record. The transcript has 4 exons.
CCAAUGAAUAUGGUAAAUCCCUUAUCUGUCGCGUUUUCGUCUGUUUUAGUUGUCUUCUUCCCUUUUCUUUUUGAGUGUCUGAAACUGUUUUUCACUGAAACUGUUCUUCACCACCGAGUGUCACCUGUCAAAGGGAUUUUCGAACUGAUCUCCACCGCCGCCGUCUCACUGAAGGCUACAGACUCGUGUCGACCGCGACUCACAAAACCCUUCAAACUCAUUUCUGAUCUAUUGAAAUUAUGUGAAAAUCAAAGCAACAAACUAAAAUCCGUUGUAACGUCGUUGGUUCAAGGUAUUGGUUGGCUGACACCGUUGAUUCAAUUUCUCCGGCCGCCGUGCUUGCUCCUUCAAGUUCUAGGUAAGUGUCUCUCCUCCUCCUUCCUCCUUCCUCCUCCUUCCUCCUUCUUGCUGUUUCUUUUUCCUAUUUGAAAUACAUUAGUCUUUCUCUUUUAUCUCUCGAUCGCUGCUAUUUUUCUGAAUUAUUGGAUUAUUUUUCCUUGUAAUUCUGUGUUUUAAUUUCUAGAAUUUGUGUAUUUGUCAUUGUUUUUUUGUCAUUUGGACGAAAUUAUGGUAAUUAUGUAAGUAAUUGUCUUUAAAAUUCAUUUAAUUUCAUAAUUUCUUUUGUGAAUGAGUAGAAAUGUGGAAUUCCAUGGUAUAGUUGAGUUGUUUGAGGCUACUUAAAUGUACUCAGAUGAGAGAGUUUUAGGCUGGCGGUUUUUAUGAUAAUUCCAGAAAACUAUGUGAAUAGUUGUGGCAAAUAACUCCUGUCUCACCUUAUCAGAACCUUGGCUUGAGUUUAUCUUGCGGAGUAAACUGAUCCUUUUUUGGAGUUUGGUGACUGAUGUGUCUAAAUUGUUUUGGUGUUUUCUACUGUGAGGCUCUGAACGCUACAGGCAGGAAAUUGGUUCGAAAUGAUGUUUCUUUGGUGGGUGGAGAUGAAACCAAAAGUAAAUUAGCCAACCGUGUAAGAAUUUUUUCUGUAGAGGGUUUGUUUACAUGUUGUUGGAGUUUGGUUUUGAGGGUUUGUCUAAAUGGUUUUCUAUCUGUUUGACUUGGUUAGUGUAGGAAAUGUGAAACUGGUCAAAAACUAUCUUUCAAGGGAGUAAAAGGUGUUUUCCCUAGUAGAAAAACAUAUAAGUAAUUGUCUUUAAAAUUCAUCAAAUUUUUUAUCUUUUUCUUUAACUAAUUGCUCCGAAAUCUUUAUCUAUAAGAAACAUAAGUGGUCCAGGUUUAGUGAUUUAUAAGGUAAAGCAUUAUAGCACUUCUACAUUUCAUGAGUGCAUGUUCAAGAAAAAUUCAAGUUCUUCUUCCUGUCACUCUUAUUGCGGUUAUGGCUUAUCUGUGAUGUGUUAUAUGGUUUGAGUCACUCUUAUAGUUAUCGGGAUCUAAGCAAUUUGGCCUACAGUUAAGUAAUACUUGUAUGAUCUUACUAGCUUCCACGUGAGCAUAUGCAGAUGCAUUUUAGAUAUAGUACAGAUAAAUUUUGGUCGCCAUAUUUUGAUCUCUGGACUUCGGUUUUGUAAAACGUACAGUGGUGGGUUUAGUGUAGUUUUGGUUUGUUUUGAUGUCUUCCUGGCUUCAUUAUAAGCAUAUGCAGAUUCCUUUACCUUCUUCUAGCAUAUUCUGGACAAGCUGCUUAUCUGGUAAAUCAUCAAAACCAUGUGGAAGAUGCAUUUUAUCAUUCAAUACCAAGUCUCUCUUAGCUCAACCUCUCUUAUUUUUUGUGCAUUGACAUAGAUACAUAAAAGUACCAGAUACUAUAAGAAGAAAAAAAAGGACAGGAAGUAAAUUCAAGUAGGGGGCAGGUCUAAAACUUUUGUAAAGAUGACCGUAGGGCUCGAGAUAAUUAGUCAUAGGAAGGACCAGGUUGUUACUUCAACUGCACUUGCAUUCAGCUUAUACUUCUGCAAACGAAAUUCGAGAUCUGGCGAGGCUUUGAUUGCAAUAUCAAGGUCUGCAAAAAUCGAAGUAUACAAAGAUGAAAGAAUUGAAUACAUAAGUUUUAAUCUCAGUCCAUUCUUCGUUCCUGAUCUGCUGCCAGCCCACUCUGAUCUUGACACACUCUGAUCUGCUGCCAGCCCAUAUGUUCCACGUUUCGCCUAGUACUCUUGGAACAACAGCUUCUCUGUUGGAUUUUGAUCCUUUUCUUCAGUAUCAGUUUGAUCAGUAUUCAAAUUAGAUCCAUUAUCCUCCUUAGAGACUGAUCACAGGGGUUAGUUUGACCCGGAAAUAUAAUAACAAAUAAUGGCAGAGGAGUUGGUGUGUGAUGACUGAUGAGAGGGUGGUGAAACUUUUUGCCGGGGAGGGAGCUGCAAAGGAGAGAACAGCCUUACAUGCUGUCCUGUGGAAUUGGUUUGCACGUCGCUAAGAAGAGAGUCUAUCACUGAUGAGCAAAUUGAUGAAGUACGGAACAAAUGAGCAUCAUACUUCACCGAACAUUGUGUGUGAAUAAUACUUCAUCGAUCUCUUCUUGUGGAUGUUUUUUGCUAUUGGCUUAUUUUUGGUGUAAAUUGUAAUGCAUAGAAGACAUAGGUAAUUAGGUAUGAUCGAGUUGGUUUAUUUUUGUAAAAAUGUUAUAGUUGGUGGUAUUUUGUAUUUGUAUAAAUACAGUUUCUGAAAGUUUAUGUUGAUUGAUGAUAGGACAUUGUACAA